Stomoxys calcitrans (stable fly) is the source of this 653-nucleotide long non-coding RNA. RefSeq lists it as uncharacterized. The record is from RefSeq and is a predicted model, not a curated record. Lineage: Eukaryota; Metazoa; Arthropoda; Insecta; Diptera; Muscidae. The transcript has 3 exons.
UGUAAAGCACACAUCUGAAUUUGGGCUCUUUAAGACGACUUAAUUCAUAAGCACAAUAGAAAGCCAAUCAAAUCUUACUUCCCUUAUUCAAAGCCAACUUAUCCAACGAUGCUAAUAGCAACAAACACAAACAUAUUUUGCCAAACUCUUUUGUUUUUCGCACGGCGAUCGCCCAACGACGGAUUCUGCCAGAGCGGUUUUUAUGUAUAGGCAUUGACCUACACUACAUGUGAAGUGCUUUCCGUUUGGAUAUUGUCUGGCUUUAGAACAUUGUUUAAUGCUUUCUAAUCAAAGAACAGUAUAGCAAAAAACAUUUAAAAUAAAGAAAAAUCUUUUGUAACAAGGAAAUCUUUGGAUAGCUGCCAAAUGAUCCAUCAAAAAUUGCUGUGUCCAAAUACCUGAUGUCAGUUGCGUUCAGCAUUAUCACCAAGAAUUAUUUUCUUCUGCCGUGUCUAUUAAGUGCAAACGAGAAGUUUAAAUUGUUGUCCAGAAUUGGUUCUACAUAAAAGUUAUAAGCUUACGUGUUGGUCAGCUUAUGUCACUAAUUGACAUCAUUUGUUUAAUUUAAAAUUUUUUUGUUGUAAAGAUUUUUGAUCCAGCAAAAUUAUUUUCAACAAAACGAUUAAAAAAUAAAGUAAAUUAUAGUUUGUUAA